AGAAUACGUUCGACUAAACAAUUCCAUAGUUACCUCGUCGACAUGAACAUAACACAAGGUAGAAGUUCAAGAACGGAAGAAAACUAUCGGCA
Cucurbita moschata (crookneck pumpkin) is the source of this 92-nucleotide long non-coding RNA. RefSeq lists it as uncharacterized. The record is from RefSeq and is a predicted model, not a curated record. NCBI's taxonomy places the organism in Eukaryota, Viridiplantae, Streptophyta, Magnoliopsida, Cucurbitales, Cucurbitaceae. The transcript is spliced from 2 exons.